ACGGGAGGCAGCAGUGGGGAAUAUUGCACAAUGGGGGAAACCCUGAUGCAGCGACGCCGCGUGAGUGAAGAAGUAUUUCGGUAUGUAAAGCUCUAUCAGCAGGAAAGAAAAUGACGGUACCUGACUAAGAAGCCCCGGCUAACUACGUGCCAGCAGCCGCGGUAAUACGUAGGGGGCAAGCGUUAUCCGGAUUUACUGGGUGUAAAGGGAGCGUAGACGGCUUUGCAAGUCUGAAGUGAAAGCCCGGGGCUCGACCCCGGAACUGCUUUGGAAACUGUAGAGCUAGAGUGCAGGAGAGGUAAGUGGAAUUCCUAGUAUAGCGGUGAAAUGCGUAGAUAUUAGGAGGAACACCAGUGGCGAAGGCGGCUUACUGGACUGUAACUGACGUUGAGGCCCGAAGGCGUGGGGAGCAAACAGGAUUAGAUACCCUGGUA
RNAcentral lists this ribosomal RNA (434 nucleotides) under uncultured Clostridiales Family XIV bacterium. Its description in RNAcentral is "bacterial SSU rRNA". It matches the Rfam family "Bacterial small subunit ribosomal RNA", at positions 341 to 792 of the family's 1533-position model. Lineage: Bacteria; Bacillati; Bacillota; Clostridia; Eubacteriales; Clostridiales Family XIV. Incertae Sedis. The record is from RNAcentral.